GCUUGAUAAGCCCUCGAUAAGCAGUCUGUCUCUUUUCCCCAAGGACCUAGAGUCUGAGCUUUUCUUUCUGACCUCUCUUUGAGGUCCAGGUUUCUUCCCUGUGGAGGAGGCAGGCCCAAAGCUCUCAUCCUGUGACCCGUCCGAGAGAGCCGCUCAGAGCUGACAGGAUCAAAAGUGGAGGCAUUGAGCUUAGGGAAUAGAAAUCUCUGUACAUGCUCAGACUGGAGAGGAGGAAGGAGACCAGCUUUUCAUGUAUGGUUUUUUUUUUUUCUUUCACUGCUUCUCACUCUCUCCACUUAUAGUGAGUCUCACUGUAUGCAUGUGCAGCAGGAUGUGCCACUGCAUACAAAUGUGCUGAAGCGCUCUGCGACUUUGCGUUUUUCCCUUUGUUGACUUUUCCUGGCAGAGGUGUGAUGGGCUGGCUACAAGAUGUUAGUGGGUAGAUGUAAACAAAGGCACUGAACCAGAAAGAAGGGUCGACAUGUUUUCCCAGAAGGCAGCAAAGCUAAUCACAUAGUAUUGUAGACAUCCGUUGGAUCCCACAGCAGGGGCUGCUGCAAGAAGAAUGACACCAAUGUGACAAAGGCAGCAUAGCAGUAUUUCUUUAUUGUUAUAGUAGAUUCAUCAAAAUUAUGAAGACUUAUUUGCAGUUACAAGGUGUUCAGUCAAACCAUUUAGAUAGUUUGGGCUUUGUAAAAAAACGUGUUGUUUUAGGGAGUUUUGGUACUCACUGAGAGUGAAUGCCUGCUGUCAGGCUUCCCAUGAGAUACAGUGCUUUCUCUUUGCAUUUGCACAAUUAGAAUUACAGUACAAAGGAAACAGUAUUGAGGAUGCGUAUCAUAUCUUUGUCGUGGUGCUUGGUUUUCAUUAUGACAACAGAGUGUGAGUGUGUAAGUGGACCCACAAGGAGGAGGGGAGUUGGUGUUUAAUAUGUAGCUCUAUCCACAUCAUAGCUGGACUGGCCAUCGGGCAUUUUUUUUUUUUUUUGGAAGGGUAUAAAUAAUGAAAGGUGUUGGAUUGGCCAAUUGGUCAUGAUCGACUCUAGGCUGGACCAAUUACAGCCGAGGAGGUUGAAUGCACCCUCCCCCUUGUUUAGCAAUCUUAUAGACGAACUAAAAAAAAAUGGAGAACAAAAAAAGGAAAGGAGGUGCAGA
Molecule: long non-coding RNA, 1154 nt
Organism: Astatotilapia calliptera (eastern happy)
Lineage: Eukaryota; Metazoa; Chordata; Actinopteri; Cichliformes; Cichlidae
Source: Ensembl